Molecule: ribosomal RNA, 455 nt
Filed under: uncultured bacterium
Lineage: Bacteria
Description: bacterial SSU rRNA
Rfam family: Bacterial small subunit ribosomal RNA
Source: RNAcentral
CCUACGGGGUGCAGCAGUGGGGAAUAUUGCACAAUGGGCGCAAGCCUGAUGCAGCCAUGCCGCGUGUGUGAAGAAGGCCUUCGGGUUGUAAAGCACUUUCAGCGGGGAGGAAGGCGGUGAGGUUAAUAACCUCACCGAUUGACGUUACCCGCAGAAGAAGCACCGGCUAACUCCGUGCCAGCAGCCGCGGUAAUACGGAGGGUGCAAGCGUUAAUCGGAAUUACUGGGCGUAAAGCGCACGCAGGCGGUCUGUCAAGUCGGAUGUGAAAUCCCCGGGCUCAACCUGGGAACUGCAUUCGAAACUGGCAGGCUAGAGUCUUGUAGAGGGGGGUAGAAUUCCAGGUGUAGCGGUGAAAUGCGUAGAGAUCUGGAGGAAUACCGGUGGCGAAGGCGGCCCCCUGGAGAAAGACUGACGCUCAGGUGCGAAAGCGUGGGGAGCAAACAGGAUUAGAUAC